This 702-nucleotide long non-coding RNA is filed under the name Dromaius novaehollandiae (emu). RNAcentral describes it as "lncRNA (ENSDNVG00000006390.1)". Lineage: Eukaryota; Metazoa; Chordata; Aves; Casuariiformes; Dromaiidae. The record is from RNAcentral.
UUUAUUGACUACAGUUUUCAUUCCAUGACCGGGCUUUUUUCACCUCUUCUCCCCAGAUACUUCUUCAGAUACAAGGAAUCACAUAUCAAAGUGAUUUUCCCUACCUCCUCCAGGUGAAAGAGACGACUCAGGCUAUCAAAAGAAGCCCUCUGUGACACUACCACUAGCAGAGAACAGUGGAUGGAAGUAGUGCCUGAACAAUCUUUUGUCAGGUGGCCUCCCUAACAUGUCCAGCUCCAAGUGUUCAGAAUCUCCUGCAGCCAGCUAGCAGGUUUCAACAAUCACACCGCUAAUUUCUGCAGCAGGAGUUCAUAAAGCCUCUUGGGAGGUAAGGUAAUAGAACAUUCCUGGUUAUGGUGCCAAAAGAUGUAUAGUGCCAUGGUGGUAGAACCUCCUUUAGCUUCCCUACUGUGUCUGUCACUGGUGUGAAAAUAUAAGCUUUUGAAAAUUGGACCCCAGUCCUGGUAGGAGAAAACACAAGCUGCAGCCCAAGAUGACCUUUUAAAAUUGAAAGUUCCUAAGACCACAACAGAACUGGUGAGUACAUUUUGACACAACUUCCUUCUUUGCUUUGCUUACAUUUUAAAAACAAAACUACUGGUGAAACUUCAUUCCCACCUCCCUUUUUCUAAACUCUGAAGUAACACACACAAAGACAGUAUUGUAAAUAAAUUUUGUGUGUGUGUGUAUGUUGAACUGAUA